RNAcentral lists this ribosomal RNA (136 nucleotides) under uncultured Trebouxiophyceae. RNAcentral's name for it is "partial small subunit ribosomal RNA". It matches the Rfam family "Eukaryotic small subunit ribosomal RNA", at positions 1670 to 1804 of the family's 1831-position model. Lineage: Eukaryota; Viridiplantae; Chlorophyta; Trebouxiophyceae. The record is from RNAcentral.
CGCCCGUCGCUCCUACCGAUUGGGUGUGCUGGUGAAGCGUUCGGACUGGUGCCUGCAGCGGUUCGCCGCCCAGGGCAACCGGGAAGUUCGUUAAACCCUCCCACCUAGAGGAAGGAGAAGUCGUAACAAGGUUUCC